This is a long non-coding RNA of Hyla sarda, 522 nucleotides long. RefSeq lists it as uncharacterized. The record is from RefSeq and is a predicted model, not a curated record. Lineage: Eukaryota; Metazoa; Chordata; Amphibia; Anura; Hylidae. The transcript is spliced from 5 exons.
AACUGCACCACUCUUCCUCUACACUGGUUUUGAUGAAUCUCCCCCGCUGUCCUCUGUGGCGCUUCAAGCACAGAGUGACUACCUGGCAUUGAGAUUCUCCAGAAGACUUCACCAAGAAGUUCCCUUCCAGCUGUGAUGAUGGAACGUUUUCUCCCUGAAUGAAGUCCGCACUAAAAAUUUCAGGUAUAGUUUUUACCUUUACGGCUAGGAGCGCCAUCUCUGGACUCCCGAGGAUUUUCUGAUCUCCUAACGCCUAAAGUCUCCAGAGCUGCAGUCAGAAGAAGGCUGAUCCUGACAUCUUGCACACCAGUGUUGGUGUAAGGUGUAUGUUGUUGGUGCGAACCAUCUCAUAACAACACAACAAGGUGAUAGACUGAUCCCAUCCUAAAUCUGAAGCCAGAAUUAUAAAAACCAGAAUAAUUAGACUUACUGGAAGCUGUUUCUUCAUUGCCAUUGCUGAAGUCACUUGGAAAAUUACUUAUCGACUCCCUGUUGAAGCAUGGCCCAUUGGUAGAAUUUUGG